RNAcentral lists this unclassified non-coding RNA (416 nucleotides) under Hevea brasiliensis (rubber tree). Lineage: Eukaryota; Viridiplantae; Streptophyta; Magnoliopsida; Malpighiales; Euphorbiaceae. The record is from RNAcentral.
GAAGCCUGCUAAAAAGCCUACAAAGAAGCCUCUAGUUCUUCCUGAUAAUAUUUUGAAGAGGGACUAUGUUUUUCGGAAGCCUAAAAACAAGGAUGAAGUCCAGUUUCAGGGUAAUAACAACGACAGCAGCAAGUUCUCUAAUUCAGAGAAGAAGAAACGUCAAGCACAAGCGAAUCGUGAGGGAAAGAAUUAAAAAAGUCCUCGAAUUGAGGGUCACAAUCCUAAUCAGAGGCAAUUUGCUGGCAACUUUGUGGGUGCAGUUAUGAAGGCUACACAUACUCUCAACGUUGAUGAUCCCUUACAGUUUCCUUCCGUUAGAAAGAAAUAGAGUUCAUACCCACAUCAAUCCCCAUUUUCUCCAACCAAAGCUUGUGUUUGUAGUUUAUAGUUUCCCAAAUGGCCACUUAUGGUAAAUC